CUGGGGUGAAGUCGUAACAAGGCAGCCGUAUCGGAAGGUGCGGCUGGAUCACCUCCUUUCUAAGGAGAAUU
Molecule: ribosomal RNA, 71 nt
Filed under: Clostridioides difficile
Lineage: Bacteria; Bacillati; Bacillota; Clostridia; Peptostreptococcales; Peptostreptococcaceae
Description: partial 16S ribosomal RNA
Rfam family: Bacterial small subunit ribosomal RNA (bases 1-59)
Source: RNAcentral